RNAcentral lists this ribosomal RNA (327 nucleotides) under uncultured bacterium. Its description in RNAcentral is "bacterial SSU rRNA". It matches the Rfam family "Bacterial small subunit ribosomal RNA", at positions 355 to 679 of the family's 1533-position model. The record is from RNAcentral.
UGAGGAAUAUUGGUCAAUGGGCGGAAGCCUGAACCAGCCAUCCCGCGUGAAGGAAGAAGGCCUUAUGGGUUGUAAACUUCUUUUCCGUUUGAAGAAUAAGCUUGUCGUGACAAGUGAUGCCGGUAGGACAGGAAUAAGCAUCGGCUAACUCCGUGCCAGCAGCCGCGGUAAUACGGAGGAUGCAAGCGUCAUCCGGAUCUAUUGGGUUUAAAGGGUGCGCAGGUGGUGUAAUAAGUCAGUGGUGAAAGUCUGCCGCUUAACGGUAGGAUUGCCAUUGAUACUGUAUGACUUGAAUAUGGAUGAGGUAGGCGGACUGUGUAGUGUAGC